UCUUGACUAGUAUAUCGGUUAGUACACGCGCUUGUCAUGAAUUGCUUAUAAGCAAUUGCGCGCGAAAGCUGGGUUCGACUCCCAGGUCGAGAG
This is a non-coding RNA of Mycena olivaceomarginata, 93 nucleotides long. The record is from the annotation of a GenBank genome assembly. Lineage: Eukaryota; Fungi; Basidiomycota; Agaricomycetes; Agaricales; Mycenaceae.